AUUGAACGCUGGCGGCAUGCCUUACACAUGCAAGUCGAACGGCAGCGGACCUUCGGGUGCCGGCGAGUGGCGAACGGGUGAGUAAUAUAUCGGGAACGUACCUUUCAGUGGGGGAUAACGUAGCGAAAGUUACGCUAAUACCGCAUAUUCUGUGAGCAGGAAAGCAGGGGAGUCGCAAGACCUUGCGCUGAUUGAGCGGCCGAUAUCAGAUUAGCUAGUUGGUGAGGUAAAGGACUCACCAAGGACGACGAUCUGUAGCGGGUCGUGAGAGGAUGAUCCGCCACACUGGAACUGAGACACGGUCCAGACUCCUACGGGAGGCAGCAGUGGGGAAGUUUUGGUACAAUGGGCGGCAAGACCUGAUCCAGCCAUGCCGCGUGAGUG
RNAcentral lists this ribosomal RNA (384 nucleotides) under uncultured bacterium. RNAcentral's name for it is "bacterial SSU rRNA". It matches the Rfam family "Bacterial small subunit ribosomal RNA", at positions 30 to 407 of the family's 1533-position model. The record is from RNAcentral.